Molecule: ribosomal RNA, 498 nt
Filed under: uncultured bacterium
Lineage: Bacteria
Description: partial 16S ribosomal RNA
Rfam family: Bacterial small subunit ribosomal RNA
Source: RNAcentral
UAGGGAAUCUUCCACAAUGGACGCAAGUCUGAUGGAGCAACGCCGCGUGAGUGAAGAAGGCUUUCGGGUCGUAAAACUCUGUUGUUGGAGAAGAAUGGUCGGCAGAGUAACUGUUGUCGGCGUGACGGUAUCCAACCAGAAAGCCACGGCUAACUACGUGCCAGCAGCCGCGGUAAUACGUAGGUGGCAAGCGUUAUCCGGAUUUAUUGGGCGUAAAGCGAGCGCAGGCGGUUUUUAAGUCUGAUGUGAAAGCCCUCGGCUUAACCGAGGAAGCGCAUCGGAAACUGGGAAACUUGAGUGCAGAAGAGGACAGUGGAACUCCAUGUGUAGCGGUGAAAUGCGUAGAUAUAUGGAAGAACACCAGUGGCGAAGGCGGCUGUCUGGUCUGUAACUGACGCUGAGGCUCGAAAGCAUGGGUAGCGAACAGGAUUAGAUACCCUGGUAGUCCAUGCCGUAAACGAUGAAUGCUAGGUGUUGGAGGGUUUCCGCCCUUGCAGU